RNAcentral lists this ribosomal RNA (450 nucleotides) under uncultured Glomeromycotina. RNAcentral describes it as "SSU rRNA". It matches the Rfam family "Eukaryotic small subunit ribosomal RNA", at positions 569 to 1024 of the family's 1831-position model. Lineage: Eukaryota; Fungi; Glomeromycota. The record is from RNAcentral.
AGCAGCCGCGGUAAUUCCAGCUCCAAUAGCGUAUAUUAAAGUUGUUGCAGUUAAAAAGCUCGUAGUUGAAUUUCGGGAUUAAUAUGUUGGUCGUGCCUUGGUACGUACUGGCAUUAUUGAUUCCUACCUUCUGAAGAACCUCGAUGUCAUUAAUUUGGUGUCUUGGGGAAUCAGGACCGUUACUUUGAAAAAAUUAGAGUGUUUAAAGCAGGCUCGCGCUUGAAUACAUUAGCAUGGAAUAAUGAAAUAGGACGUUUGAUUCUAUUUUGUUGGUUUCUAGGAUCGACGUAAUGAUUAAUAGGGAUAGUUGGGGGCAUUAGUAUUCAAUUGUCAGAGGUGAAAUUCUUGGAUUUAUUGAAGACUGACUACUGCGAAAGCAUUUGCCAAGGAUGUUUUCAUUAAUCAAGAACGAAAGUUAGGGGAUCGAAGACGAUCAGAUACCGUCGUAGU